RNAcentral lists this long non-coding RNA (521 nucleotides) under Medicago truncatula (barrel medic). RNAcentral's name for it is "long non-coding RNA (MTRU_LNC008547)". Lineage: Eukaryota; Viridiplantae; Streptophyta; Magnoliopsida; Fabales; Fabaceae. The record is from RNAcentral.
ACGAAAAUCGGCUGUUACAGAAGCGAACUCCAGAAGCGCGUUUUACAAAAGCUGUUUUGGUUCAGAUUUUUAGCUAGUUAUAUUUAUGUUAGCAUAAUCGAAUUUCUGGAUGAAGUGUGUCUUGAAAAGCGCAUUUUACAAAAGCUUUUUUGGUUGAUAACACGCGUUUGCAGAAAGUUGUUUUCAGAAGCGUGUUUACUGAAAUUACAAAGAAGGUGUAGUGCCGUUUGUGUUCAAUUCAGAUUUCCAGCAAGGCGUGGGCUAAAUCAUCAGUCUUGCUGGGCUUCAAUAUGGUUUCCUAUGUUUUCAUAUAUUUUAAGCUAUUUGUUAGUUUUACCCCCAAUUUUACCUAGUUACUUUAGUAUGAAUAAAUUGUAAUUUUCAUUGUAUUUCAAACUCAAAUUGGUGAAUUUUCCCACUUUGAGUUUGAGGGAACUAUUAGAAUAUAGUUAGUUAGAGUGUUUGAGAAGUUUGGUUAAGAGUUAGUUACACAGCUAAACUCUAUAUAUAGGAACACUCAU